This 457-nucleotide ribosomal RNA is filed under the name uncultured Sphingobacteriales bacterium. RNAcentral's name for it is "bacterial SSU rRNA". It matches the Rfam family "Bacterial small subunit ribosomal RNA", at positions 923 to 1382 of the family's 1533-position model. The record is from RNAcentral. Lineage: Bacteria; Pseudomonadati; Bacteroidota; Sphingobacteriia; Sphingobacteriales.
GCACAAGCGGUGGAGCAUGUGGUUUAAUUCGAUGAUACGCGAGGAACCUUACCUGGGCUCAAAUGUAUGUUGACGUAUUCUGAAAGGGAUACUUCUUCGGACAAUAUACAAGGUGCUGCAUGGUUGUCGUCAGCUCGUGCCGUGAGGUGUCGGGUUAAGUCCCAUAACGAGCGCAACCCCUAUCAUUAGUUGCCAUCAGGUCAAGCUGGGGACUCUAAUGAAACUGCCUACGCAAGUAGUGAGGAAGGUGGGGAUGACGUCAAAUCAGCACGGCCCUUACGUCCAGGGCUACACACGUGCUACAAUGGCCGGUACAAAGGGCAGCUACCUGGUGACAGGAUGCUAAUCUCAAAAGCCGGUCUCAGUUCGGAUUGAAGUCUGCAACUCGACUUCAUGAAGCUGGAAUCGCUAGUAAUCGCAGAUCAGCCAAGCUGCGGUGAAUACGUUCCCGGGCCUU